RNAcentral lists this long non-coding RNA (256 nucleotides) under Malus domestica (apple). RNAcentral's name for it is "long non-coding RNA (MDOM_LNC011083)". Lineage: Eukaryota; Viridiplantae; Streptophyta; Magnoliopsida; Rosales; Rosaceae. The record is from RNAcentral.
UUUUAUGGAAAUUAUGUGAAUCAUCGAUAAUGUGAAUUGUGUUGAGAACUCAUAAUCUGCACCUUGAUGUUAGUGCUCAUAUUAUUCACCGCACCGCACGCUCACCUUGGAUCCAAGUAGGUGCAUGUCGUACAGACCAUGUGAGGGUUCCGACAUGCUAGUCGUACAGACCACUGAGGUGGUUCCGACUAGUAGGUGACUUUCGAUUAUAUGCGCAGAUCAUUGAUGAGAGGAGCACUAGAGCGUAUUAUUUUAC